AAUUACGUUUUUAACCUUUUGUUUUAUUCCUUUGUGUCCGUUUAUAUAAGGAUGUUUUGGUCUUUAGUGAGACUGUGUCAGUGAUAUUUUUUCAUUGAUCUCUCUCUUCUCUGUUAUCUCUUUGUCUCCGCUCUCCAUCUUGCUGAAUCUCUCUCUCUCUCUCUCUCUCUCUCUCUCCGUUUAUUCGUCUUCGCAGAAUCUCCAUCAAGUUCUUUAUGCUUCAACACUUAAUUUCUUACUUGUUCCUCUUAUUUCCAGGAGGCUGCUAGAUUUUUGCAAUCAAAAAAUAGAGGUAUUGAUCAGGAGGUCAAAUACAAGUCUCUACCUGCAGGCCCAAGCACUAGCACUCGUUCAGAGACCAAGGAAUCUGAAAAAGCAAAGGUCUCUAUUCUUGAGAAUAUUUACUGGAAGGAAGUUUGUGUACUUUCUGUAGUGUGGAUCGUUGUCCUUGGACUGCAGAUCGCCAAGGCCCAAGCACUAGCACUCGUUCAGAGACCAAAGAAUCUAAAAAAGCAGAGGUCUCUAUUUUUGAGAAUAUUUACUGGAAGGAAGUUGGUGUACUUUCUGCAGUGUGGAUCGUUGUCCUUGGACUGCAGAUCGCCAAGAAUCAUACAACUACUUGUUCGGUGCUGUAUUGGGUACUAAACCUAUUGCAGAUCCCAAUAACCGUUGGAGUGACUUCAUAUGAAUCCGUGAACCUGUACAAAGGGCAGAGAGUGAUCGCAUCAAAGGGAGAAGCAGACACAAAUUAAAUUCAGUUUACAGUUAUUUAAUUAAGGAAUUAUGGAUAUGAAACAAUUCAUAACAAUAAGGUUUUGAGUGCUUGAGAUGUCUUAAAAAAUGUCGUAGUCAGCAUCGUUGAAAAUCUGCGAGUAUUGCGUGGAAGAUUAACCCUUGAUUAAGAAAAUCAGCCUCUAAUAAGUCAGUCCUACAACACAGCAUGUUGAUUAGUUUUUUAAUGGUGCUGAGCUGUGUUUGGGAUUUUGACCCUUUAAUAAUUAUAUGAAAU
This is a long non-coding RNA of Carya illinoinensis, 1009 nucleotides long. RefSeq lists it as uncharacterized. Lineage: Eukaryota; Viridiplantae; Streptophyta; Magnoliopsida; Fagales; Juglandaceae. The record is from RefSeq and is a predicted model, not a curated record. The transcript is spliced from 7 exons.